Molecule: ribosomal RNA, 253 nt
Filed under: uncultured bacterium
Lineage: Bacteria
Description: partial 16S ribosomal RNA
Rfam family: Bacterial small subunit ribosomal RNA
Source: RNAcentral
UACGUAGGGUGCGAGCGUUAAUCGGAAUUACUGGGCGUAAAGCGUGCGCAGGCGGUUUUGUAAGCCAGAUGUGAAAUCCCCGGGCUUAACCUGGGAAUGGCCAUGGAAACUGGCGAGCUGGAGUGUGGCAGAGGAGGGUGGAAUUCCGCGUGUAGCAGUGAAAUGCGUAGAGAUGCGGAGGAACACCGAUGGCGAAGGCAGCCCUCUGGGCUAACACUGACGCUGAGGCACGAAAGCGUGGGGAGCAAACAGG